Cyprinodon tularosa is the source of this 2211-nucleotide RNA transcript. RefSeq lists it as uncharacterized. Lineage: Eukaryota; Metazoa; Chordata; Actinopteri; Cyprinodontiformes; Cyprinodontidae. The record is from RefSeq and is a predicted model, not a curated record. The transcript has 2 exons.
AAAAAUCCGUCCGCCUAACUCUGUGUGCGUGUGAACUCUUCCUGAACCGAGAUCUGAAGUCUUACGGUGAUAAAUCACCGCCGCGACACACAAACUCCACCAUUUACAACCGAAAGAGGAGCCUAUUUCUGGCCCCUGCUUACCUUAUCCUCUUACGAUGAAUGCAGAGCGCCGGGCAAUAUUUUCUCAUUCAGCGACGAAAUCGAUCAAAGGCAGUAAUCCAGAGGAAGAAGAAAAAAAGUUUUAAAGGCAGCCGGGCUGACUGGGUUGAAGGAGCAGCGGCUGACUGCGCCCUGCCAUGCAAACAGGCAUUAGCAGGCACAACACGCAGGGAAAAAAAAGGGAAGAGCCAAGAGAAGACCCCCUUUUUCCUUUUUCUCUUCUUACUCGCCGAGAUUGCGAAAGCAGGCGUGAGCAGUCGGGUCAGCGCGAUAAGAAGAGUUAUCUGCUCCCAUGCUUGCAGGGUAAUGGACAGGGCUUCAUGGCAAUAUUAACGUCAGCUAAGGCUAUGCUUGACUAUGAGAUCCUUCAGCAGUUACCAUGCAGACACCAGUGAACUGCCCCGAAUCAGAGCGUCACCGUAGACAAGAAAAAUUAUGCAAAUGAAGCAAGCGCCUUGGAAAGCCUGUCCAAAUCAAGUAGUUGCCUCUCCUCCUCCUCCCCCAACAACCCAAAUGAGGUAGUCCUUCUAGAAAAUAAUAACCUUAAUAAUGCCUGGUUUACAAUACACCAUCCCAAAAGAUGUUUAAAAUAAUUUUCUUAUAAUUUACCCCGCAUCCAAGAGAGAAGCUAUGGACCUAAGCAGAUUUUUGGGCUAACAAAGGAAUAAAUAGAGACUGAGAGUGCUGCAUUUCCAUAUCCAUGGGAGAUAAAGAGCUUCUGCGGGCGGCUUAAUCAUUAACCUGCGUUUUUGCACAAAAUGCGCUGUUUUAGCGCUCAGCCGCAAAGGUCCUUUCCAUUUUCACAAUGAGCCCUUUUCCUAGGAAGUAAGAGUGCAGUACUGUGCACAUUCUGAUCAAAGCUGAUAAAUAUUAGAAGGGAACCCCCCACAGCAGCAGGAGCAUGGGGAUGAGAAAUGGGUAGAGGUUUCAUCACCCAAAAGGCCAAAGCGGGAGGACACGCAGCGUGGAGGACAGAAGAAGGGAGACGGGGAAUUCCUUCUGCAUGGUAAUGUUUGCAGCCAGAAUGAAAGACUUGAUAGAAUUAGAUUUAUGACUCUCCUCUCAGCUGUAAACACGGCCAGCAGCUAAAGCCUCUCUGCUGGUUUCAGGCUGUGGGACAGAAACACUUCUGACACAACGAGAAAAAGAUGCAGGCUACACAAAUGGUUGUCGAACUGCCUGGCGGUGUUCUGCAGGUUAAUCCCCUCCUACCUGUCGCCACCGCACCUGAACUUUCCCCUGACCCUUGCAGAGUUGAGUGGGAAGUCAGACACCCAAGCCUCUAAUUUGGUAACUUUGAAUCCCCUUUAAAAUUUUAAUAGGAUAGCAUUCCAACUCAAUGCUGCUUGCAAAACGAAAACAGGGGAGAAAAAAAAAGCAAUACAUGAUAGAUGACGCAUUUAAUCAAAAUAACACAAAUGCUUCCAGAUGUAUUUCCACAAAUCAAGGUUCCUUAUCUCUGUCAGCACAAAGAGGAGCUGCAGGCGCAGAGACCCUCUGGAUGUCGGCCAGACGGCGGGCCAUCUUCCCACAAUGUUGACACUCGGAGCUCUUAACAGCCAGGCUUGGGUUACCGAGCCUCUCAGCCGAAGAUAACUGCUGUAGCGAGGUUUACAUCGGCCAACAUCAAGACUAAUGCGAAAUUCAACGCCUCAAGCUGAGUGGAGCCAGCUCUAAUUAACCCCAGACCAACGCUGCAACCAGGACAGAGGAACUGUUUGCUUGGAGGUGGUUGUAAUAAAGGAAGUUAGAUUGGCUUGUUGAAGUGGCUCUUAUAUUUAUACCAUGGAAAAGCUUUAGUGAGCGUUUUUGAGUAGAAUCUACAAGAUUUACCUGAAGAAUAAUAAUGAUGAAAUUAUAUUCUGAGUUAAAGACAAAGAUAAGCCUUGCAGGUUCCUCAAUUUUAAUGGUGUAUACUAUGAUAGUCAAUAAAUAAAUUAAGCCCAUUGGAGCCAAGAUUAUAUUUAAGAAAAAAUAAAUUAAUUAUUUCAAAUAUAUCCUUUAUAAAGAAAAUGGCAACAAGCCUUUUCCUUAUCCUUCAAUUUUCUAA